Non-coding RNA from Carassius carassius (crucian carp), 72 nucleotides. NCBI's taxonomy places the organism in Eukaryota, Metazoa, Chordata, Actinopteri, Cypriniformes, Cyprinidae. The record is from the annotation of a RefSeq genome assembly.
GGGGGUAUAGCUCAGUGAUAGAGCAUUUGACUGCAGAUCGAAAGGUCCCCGGUUCAAAUCCGGGGUCCCCUU